UCUUCCUUCCAGCCUUCUGAAUCUCUGCUUGACUUCCAAGGCCACGCUGUUGAUCACUCUGCUGUCACAUGGGGUUUGUAUAUAGGAGAAGGAAAUAAAGCUUUGAAGAUCAGUUGAGAUCAAGUAUGAAACACUGGAGGUGUAUUUUACUUAGUGUGUGCACUAAGAAAGAAGCGACUCUUCCUAAAACAUACAAAAGCAAUGAGACUCUAACCCAGAAAGACAACAGCAAUAUCACAGAGCUAAAACCAAGACUUGUGAACAGAAGAUCAUGAAAAUCCAUUAAAAACUUAAUACAAAAGAUACAUGCUGUAUUUUUUAUCAUAAAUAAAUACAUAUAGAGAACAAAUUUCACUUACGUGUCACUAUGCCCAUCAAGUAUG
Felis catus (domestic cat) is the source of this 383-nucleotide long non-coding RNA. RefSeq lists it as uncharacterized. The transcript is spliced from 3 exons. The record is from RefSeq and is a predicted model, not a curated record. Lineage: Eukaryota; Metazoa; Chordata; Mammalia; Carnivora; Felidae.